This 418-nucleotide ribosomal RNA is filed under the name bacterium. Its description in RNAcentral is "partial 16S ribosomal RNA". It matches the Rfam family "Bacterial small subunit ribosomal RNA", at positions 355 to 776 of the family's 1533-position model. The record is from RNAcentral.
UGGGGGAUAUUGCACAAUGGGCGAAAGCCUGAUGCAGCGACGCCGCGUGGGGGAUGAAGGCCUUCGGGUUGUAAACUUCUUUUGCUCUGAACAAGGCGCACCAUGGGGUGUGUUGAGUGUAGGGUUGAUUAGCGCCGGCUAACUACGUGCCAGCAGCCGCGGUAAUACGUAGGGCGCGAGCGUUGUCCGGAAUUAUUGGGCGUAAAGGGCUUGUAGGUGGCUGGUUGCGUCUGUCGUGAAAGCUCAUGGCUUAACUGUGGGUUUGCGGUGGGUACGGGCUGGCUUGAGUGCAGUAGGGGAGGCUGGAAUUCCUGGUGUAGCGGUGGAAUGCGCAGAUAUCAGGAGGAAUACCGGUGGCGAAGGCGGGUCUCUGGGCUGUUACUGACACUGAGGAGCGAAAGCAUGGAGAGCGAACAGG